ACGCUAGCUACAGGCUUAACACAUGCAAGUCGAGGGGCAGCAUGAACUUAGCUUGCUAAGUUUGAUGGCGACCGGCGCACGGGUGAGUAACACGUAUCCAACCUGCCGAUGACUCGGGGAUAGCCUUUCGAAAGAAGGAUUAAUACCCGAUGGCAUAGUUCUUCCGCAUGGUAGAACUAUUAAAGAAUUUCGGUCAUCGAUGGGGAUGCGUUCCAUUAGGUUGUUGGCGGGGUAACGGCCCACCAAGCCUUCGAUGGAUAGGGGUUCUGAGAGGAAGGUCCCCCACAUUGGAACUGAGACACGGUCCAAACUCCUACGGGAGGCAGCAGUGAGGAAUAUUGGUCAAUGGACGAGAGUCUGAACCAGCCAAGUAGCGUGAAGGAUGACUGCCCUAUGGGUUGUAAACUUCUUUUAUACGGGAAUAAAGUGAGGCACGUGUGCCUUUUUGUAUGUACCGUAUGAAUAAGGAUCGGCUAACUCCGUGCCAGCAGCCGCGGUAAUACGGAGGAUCCGAGCGUUAUCCGGAUUUAUUGGGUUUAAAGGGAGCGUAGGCGGACGCUUAAGUCAGUUGUGAAAGUUUGCGGCUCAACCGUAAAAUUGCAGUUGAUACUGGGUGUCUUGAGUACAGUAGAGGCAGGCGGAAUUCGUGGUGUAGCGGUGAAAUGCUUAGAUAUCACGAAGAACUCCGAUUG
RNAcentral lists this ribosomal RNA (692 nucleotides) under uncultured bacterium. RNAcentral's name for it is "bacterial SSU rRNA". It matches the Rfam family "Bacterial small subunit ribosomal RNA", at positions 33 to 715 of the family's 1533-position model. The record is from RNAcentral.